AUUGAACGCUGGCGGCAUGCCUAACACAUGCAAGUCGAACGGUAACGCGGAGAGCUUGCUCUCUGGCGACGAGUGGCGGACGGGUGAGUAAUACUUAGGAAUCUACCCAGUAGUGGGGGACAACAUUCGGAAACGGAUGCUAAUACCGCAUACGCACUACGGUGGAAAGUGGGGGACCUUCGGGCCUCACGCUAUUGGAUGAGCCUAAGUCGGAUUAGCUUGUUGGUGAGGUAAUAGCUCACCAAGGCGACGAUCCGUAGCUGGUCUGAGAGGACGAUCAGCCACACUGGGACUGAGACACGGCCCAGACUCCUACGGGAGGCAGCAGUGGGGAAUAUUGGACAAUGGGCGCAAGCCUGAUCCAGCAAUGCCGCGUGUGUGAAGAAGGCCUGCGGGUUGUAAAGCGCUUUCACCGGUGAAGAUGAUGACGGUAGCCGGAGAAGAAGCCCCGGCUAACUCCGUG
Molecule: ribosomal RNA, 463 nt
Filed under: uncultured bacterium
Lineage: Bacteria
Description: bacterial SSU rRNA
Rfam family: Bacterial small subunit ribosomal RNA
Source: RNAcentral